GACGAACGCUGGCGGCGUGCCUAAUACAUGCAAGUCGAACGCUGAAGAGAGGAGCUUGCUCUUCUUGGAUGAGGUGCGAACGGGUGAGUAACGCGUAGGUAACCUGCCUCGUAGCGGGGGAUAACUAUUGGAAACGAUAGCUAAUACCGCAUAACAAUGGAUGACACAUGUCCUUUAUUUGAAAGGUGCAAUUGCUCCACUACAAGAUGGACCUGCGUUGUAUUAGCUAGUAGGUGAGGUAAUGGCUCACCAAUGCGACGAUACAUAGCCGACCUGAGAGGGUGCUCGGCCACACUGGGCCUGAGACACGGCCCAGACUCCUACGGGAGGCAGCAGUAGGGAAUCUCCGGCAAUGGGGGCAACCCUGACCGAGCAACGCCGCGUGAGUGAAGAAGGUGUUCGGAUCGUAAAGCUCUGUUAUAAGUCAAGAACGGGUGUGAGAGUGGAAAGUUCACACUGUGACGGUAGCUUACCAGAAAGGGACGGCUAACUACGUG
Molecule: ribosomal RNA, 497 nt
Filed under: uncultured bacterium
Lineage: Bacteria
Description: partial 16S ribosomal RNA
Rfam family: Bacterial small subunit ribosomal RNA
Source: RNAcentral